GACGAACGCUGGCGGCGUGCUUAACACAUGCAAGUCGAACGGAAAGGCCCUUCGGGGUACUCGAGUGGCGAACGGGUGAGUAACACGUGGGUGAUCUGCCCUGCACUUUGGGAUAAGCCUGGGAAACUGGGUCUAAUACCGAAUAUGACCGCGCUCUUCAUGGGGUGUGGUGGAAAGCUUUUGCGGUGUGGGAUGGGCCCGCGGCCUAUCAGCUUGUUGGUGGGGUAAUGGCCUACCAAGGCGACGACGGGUAGCCGGCCUGAGAGGGUGACCGGCCACACUGGGACUGAGAUACGGCCCAGACUCCUACGGGAGGCAGCAGUGGGGAAUAUUGCACAAUGGGCGCAAGCCUGAUGCAGCGACGCCGCGUGAGGGAUGACGGCCUUCGGGUUGUAAACCUCUUUCAAUAGGGACGAAGCGCAAGUGACGGUACCUAUAGAAGAAGGACCGGCCAACUACGUGCCAGCAGCCGCGGUAAUACGUAGGGUCCGAGCGUUGUCCGGAAUUACUGGGCGUAAAGAGCUCGUAGGUGGUUUGUCGCGUUGUUCGUGAAAACUCACAGCUUAACUGUGGGCGUGCGGGCGAUACGGGCAGACUAGAGUACUGCAGGGGAGACUGGAAUUCCUGGUGUAGCGGUGGAAUGCGCAGAUAUCAGGAGGAACACCGGUGGCGAAGGCGGGUCUCUGGGCAGUAACUGACGCUGAGGAGCGAAAGCGUGGGGAGCGAACAGGAUUAGAUACCCUGGUAGUCCACGCCGUAAACGGUGGGUACUAGGUGUGGGUUUCCUUCCUUGGGAUCCGUGCCGUAGCUAACGCAUUAAGUACCCCGCCUGGGGAGUACGGCCGCAAGGCUAAAACUCAAAGGAAUUGACGGGGGCCCGCACAAGCGGCGGAGCAUGUGGAUUAAUUCGAUGCAACGCGAAGAACCUUACCUGGGUUUGACAUGCACAGGACGCCAGUAGAGAUAUUGGUUCCCUUGUGGCCUGUGUGCAGGUGGUGCAUGGCUGUCGUCAGCUCGUGUCGUGAGAUGUUGGGUUAAGUCCCGCAACGAGCGCAACCCUUGUCUCAUGUUGCCAGCACGUAAUGGUGGGGACUCGUGAGAGACUGCCGGGGUCAACUCGGAGGAAGGUGGGGAUGACGUCAAGUCAUCAUGCCCCUUAUGUCCAGGGCUUCACACAUGCUACAAUGGCCGGUACAAAGGGCUGCGAUGCCGUGAGGUGGAGCGAAUCCUUUCAAAGCCGGUCUCAGUUCGGAUCGGGGUCUGCAACUCGACCCCGUGAAGUCGGAGUCGCUAGUAAUCGCAGAUCAGCAACGCUGCGGUGAAUACGUUCCCGGGCCU
Molecule: ribosomal RNA, 1338 nt
Filed under: uncultured bacterium
Lineage: Bacteria
Description: bacterial SSU rRNA
Rfam family: Bacterial small subunit ribosomal RNA
Source: RNAcentral